RNAcentral lists this ribosomal RNA (584 nucleotides) under Ochrolechia trochophora. RNAcentral describes it as "eukaryotic LSU rRNA". The stretch from base 226 to 379 matches the Rfam family "5.8S ribosomal RNA". Lineage: Eukaryota; Fungi; Ascomycota; Lecanoromycetes; Pertusariales; Ochrolechiaceae. The record is from RNAcentral.
AUGCUAAUUCGUGAUUCUUUCAGGUGAACCUGCGGAAGGAUCAUUACCGAGAUAGGGUCCUUCGGGGCCCGACCCUCCCAUCCUGUGUGUAUCUACCUCUGUUGCUUCGGCGGGCCCGUGGGUCCCUCUGUGGCUCACCACCGGCUCUGGCCGGUCCGUGCCCGCCGGUAGCCCCCAUCAAACCAACUGUCGUCAGUGAUGUCUGAGUGCAACGUAACAAAGCAAAACUUUCAACAACGGAUCUCUUGGUUCUGGCAUCGAUGAAGAACGCAGCGAAAUGCGAUAAGUAAUGUGAAUUGCAGAAUUCAGUGAAUCAUCGAAUCUUUGAACGCACAUUGCGCCCUCUGGUAUUCCGGGGGGCAUGCCUGUCCGAGCGUCAUUACACCUCUCAAGCUCCGCUUGGUAUUGGGCCUGCGUCCCCUGAGGGGGCGGGUUCAAAAGUUAGUGGCGGGGUCACCGGGCUUCAAGCGCAGUAACUUCAUCUCUCGCUUUGGAAGCCCCGGGGGCGGCUAGCCAGUCAACACCUUUGCCCCUGACAGUUGACCUCGGAUCAGGUAGGGAUACCCGCUGAACUUAAGCUAAAA